GAACGCAACUUGCGCCCUCUGGUAUUCCGGAGGGCAUGCCUGUUUGAGUGUCGUGAACACCUCAACCCUCCAAUGUUUUUGCAUUGAAGGCGUUGGUAGUGAGCGCUGCCGGACUUUUGAGUCGGGCUCGCUUUAAAACCAUUAGCUGGAUCCAUUCUGACCUGGUUCUACUCGGCGUAAUAAGUUAUUAUCGUCGAGGACGCCUGGCCUUCUAGGCAGGCGGCCACAGUAAGGGUGUUUGAACCGCUUCCAAACACGUCUUGCUCUUGUAGCAAACACUUGAACCUCUGACCUCAAAUCAGGCAGGACUACCCGCUGAACUUA
Molecule: unclassified non-coding RNA, 324 nt
Filed under: uncultured Geminibasidium
Lineage: Eukaryota; Fungi; Basidiomycota; Geminibasidiomycetes; Geminibasidiales; Geminibasidiaceae
Description: sequence contains 5.8S rRNA gene
Rfam family: 5.8S ribosomal RNA (bases 1-53)
Source: RNAcentral